Molecule: unclassified non-coding RNA, 303 nt
Filed under: Chytridiomycota sp.
Lineage: Eukaryota; Fungi; Chytridiomycota
Description: partial contains small subunit ribosomal RNA, internal transcribed spacer 1, and 5.8S ribosomal RNA
Rfam family: Eukaryotic small subunit ribosomal RNA (bases 1-47)
Source: RNAcentral
AAAGUCGUAACAAGGUAACCGUAGGUGAACCUGCGGUUGGAUCAUUAAUGAAUUUGGGUUGAGUGGCUGUUGCCCUCGAUCGUCAACACCUUGUGAAUUGUAAUUGUAUUUGGCAAGUGAUGCAGCAGCUCGCUGCAGAAUUUCGCACCCCCCCCUCCCCUCUUGCCUUGCGGUUAGCUAGGGAGAGUGUGGGGUGGGGGGGAAAGCUUGUCCGUGUACCUAGACCAUAUUAUGCAUUUUAAUCCUGAAUAAUAAAUAAGCGAAAUACUGAAACAACUUUUGGCAACGGAUCUCUUGGCUCUC